Molecule: ribosomal RNA, 253 nt
Filed under: uncultured bacterium
Lineage: Bacteria
Description: partial 16S ribosomal RNA
Rfam family: Bacterial small subunit ribosomal RNA
Source: RNAcentral
UACGUAGGGGGCUAGCGUUGUCCGGAAUCAUUGGGCGUAAAGCGCGUGUAGGCGGUCCGGUAAGUCCGCUGUGAAAGUCGGGGGCUCAACCCUCGAAUGCCGGUGGAUACUGUCGGGCUAGAGUGCGGAAGAGGCGAGUGGAAUUCCUGGUGUAGCGGUGAAAUGCGCAGAUAUCAGGAGGAACACCAAUUGCGAAGGCAGCUCGCUGGGACGUAACUGACGCUGAGACGCGAAAGCGUGGGGAGCGAUCCGG